CGAAGUAGCUUAGUGGUAGAGCACUUCAUUGGUAAUGAAGAGGUCGAGGGUUCAAUUCCCUCUUUCGGC
This 69-nucleotide transfer RNA is filed under the name bovine gut metagenome. It matches the Rfam family "tRNA". Rfam says of the family: Transfer RNA (tRNA) molecules are approximately 80 nucleotides in length. The record is from RNAcentral.